RNAcentral lists this ribosomal RNA (959 nucleotides) under Geastrum aff. lageniforme MA-Fungi 83768. RNAcentral describes it as "eukaryotic LSU rRNA". It matches the Rfam family "Eukaryotic large subunit ribosomal RNA", at positions 1 to 940 of the family's 3401-position model. Lineage: Eukaryota; Fungi; Basidiomycota; Agaricomycetes; Geastrales; Geastraceae. The record is from RNAcentral.
UUUGACCUCAGAUCAGGCAGGACUACCCGCUGAACUUAAGCAUAUCAAUAAGCGGAGGAAAAGAAACUAACAAGGAUUCCCGUAGUAACGGCGAGUGAAGAGGGAAGAGCUCAAAUUUGAAAUCUGGCGGCCUUACGGUCGUCCGAGUUGUAAUCUAGAGAAGUGUUUUCCGUGCUGGACCGUGUACAAGUCCUUUGGAACAAGGCGUCAUAGAGGGUGAGAAUCCCGUCUACGACACGGACUACCAGUGCUCUGUGAUACACUCUCAACGAGUCGAGUUGUUUGGGAAUGCAGCUCAAAAUGGGUGGUAAAUUCCAUCUAAAGCUAAAUAUGGGCGAAAGACCGAUAGCGAACAAGUACCGUGAGGGAAAGAUGAAAAGCACUUUGGAAAGAGAGUUAAACAGUACGUGAAAUUGUUGAAAGGGAAACGCUUGAAGUCAGUCGCGUCUUCAGAAACUCAGCCUGGCUUCUGCCUGGUGUACUUUUCUGUGGGACGGGCCAGCAUCAGUUUCGGCCGCCAGAAAAAGGUGGGAGGAAGGUGGCACCUCCGGGUGUGUUAUAGCCUCCCAUCGUAUGUGGCGGCGGGGACUGAGGACUGCAGCACGCCUUUAUGGCCGGGGUUCGCCCACGUAACGUGCUUAGGAUGCUGGCGUAAUGGCUUUAAGCGACCCGUCUUGAAACACGGACCAAGGAGUCUAACAUGCCUGCGAGUAUUUGGGUGGUAAACCCAUAUGCGGAAUGAAAGUGAACAGUUGGGACUUCUGUCAUGGAAGGCACCGACGCCCGGACCAGACCUACUGUGACGGAUCCGAGGUAGAGCAUGUAUGUUGGGACCCGAAAGAUGGUGAACUAUGCCUGAGUAGGGUGAAGCCAGAGGAAACUCUGGUGGAGGCUCGUAGCGAUUCUGACGUGCAAAUCGAUCGUCGAACUAGGGUAUAGUGGCGAAAGACUAAUCGAAC